ACCGAGUUGCUCAAGUCGAUUUAAAGUAUCUGAUACUCGGCGAAGACUCAU
This 51-nucleotide small RNA is filed under the name Vibrio cholerae O1 biovar El Tor str. N16961. Lineage: Bacteria; Pseudomonadati; Pseudomonadota; Gammaproteobacteria; Vibrionales; Vibrionaceae. The record is from RNAcentral.